This 433-nucleotide long non-coding RNA is filed under the name Helianthus annuus (common sunflower). RNAcentral's name for it is "sRNA HanXRQr2_Chr04g0149501". The record is from RNAcentral. Lineage: Eukaryota; Viridiplantae; Streptophyta; Magnoliopsida; Asterales; Asteraceae.
AUUUCAGCAACAAGUUCCUCAAUAUCAAUAGAUGACGAGCCUUUAGGUUUUGUUGAGAUAUCCGCAAUUUUCUUACACUCUAUAGCCUUCUUUCUCAUUUUCACACCCUCAACCCCAUCCAUUAACUCCCUUACAAGCUUCUCCACUUCAUCUCUCUUCACAUUCCUCCCAAUCUCCAUCCCAACUUCCCAUUCCUUGCACAUUUGUGCACAAUUAGUCCGUUGGUCACCUGAAAAUGGGCAACAGAUCAUGGGCACCCCAGCAGACAAGCUCUCAAUGACAGAACCCCACCCACCAUGAGUUAAGAAACCACCAACCGAAUGGGUGGUUCAGCACCUCUUCUUGUGAACACCAGCUUGCAAUAAAGCCUCUCCUUUUAAUCUCCUCCUCGAGUUCUUGAGGUAAAGUCACAGGCUUCCCAUCAACCAAAUCG